This 253-nucleotide ribosomal RNA is filed under the name uncultured bacterium. RNAcentral describes it as "partial 16S ribosomal RNA". It matches the Rfam family "Bacterial small subunit ribosomal RNA", at positions 524 to 776 of the family's 1533-position model. The record is from RNAcentral.
UACGUAUGGUGCAAGCGUUAUCCGGAUUUACUGGGUGUAAAGGGAGCGUAGGCGGCGCGUUAAGUCUGAUGUGAAAACCCGAGGCUCAACCACGGGAGUGCAUUGGAAACUGGCGGGCUGGAGUGCCGGAGAGGUAAGCGGAAUUCCUAGUGUAGUGGUGAAAUGCGUAGAUAUUAGGAGGAACACCAGUGGCGAAGGCGGCUUACUGGACGGCAACUGACGCUGAGGCUCGAAAGCGUGGGGAGCAAACAGG